Daphnia magna is the source of this 1095-nucleotide long non-coding RNA. RefSeq lists it as uncharacterized. The transcript has 3 exons. NCBI's taxonomy places the organism in Eukaryota, Metazoa, Arthropoda, Branchiopoda, Diplostraca, Daphniidae. The record is from RefSeq and is a predicted model, not a curated record.
AUUUUUUUUCCAUUCAUAGCUGCCUCAACUGUCGCUCUUGCUAGUGAAAAUUUGAUUUCUGGUGAAAUAUAUUACGUUACAAUUAAUUUUUCAAGAGGUAUAUAUAUGAUUUGGAUUGCUGAUUAGUUACAGGAAGAUACUUAAGAACAGAAACAGCUGAAACAGUUGCUACACUAUGGUACAGAUGUAACGCUCCAGUUUCCUUUAAUGAAGAAUGUCAGGAUUGUCCACGUGAAUGUUAAUCAUAAAAAUGCCACGGAAUUACAUAAGAAAAAGAAGCCAACACCAACCAUCUGAAAAAUUCUUGCACUUGGCUGUUGAGGAUGUUCUACGUGGAAAAACUUCAAUAAGAAAAGCUGCUGAGAAAUUCAACCUAAAGCCUUCUACUGUAGGAUUCUACAGUAAAAGAUAAUCUUCAUUUGGGCUACUACCUCCUGCAAAAAUCAAACGUCCUCAGCAUUCUACUCAAAUUGUUCCAGUUCACAUGGAAUCAGAACUAGACGAUUACUUGAAGACUUGUACUCUUAUCAACCACGGAAUGUCACCAGCUGAAACUCGAAUAAUUGCACUAUCAUUUGCAACUGCGAAUGCUGUAACUACGCCACCGGAAUGAAAAAAAACAAAACAUGGGAAAGCAUCUGAAGAAUGGCUUUGUGGCUUCCUUAAACGCAAUAGUUUUUUAUUUAUCAGAAAGCCAGAGCAAACAAGUCAAGCUAGAGCCGCAUGAUUCAAUAAGACGGUUGUGGACACUUACUUCGACAAGCUGGAGAGCUUGUUUAUUAAAUACAAAUUCAAAGCAAACGAAGUAUUUAAUGCUGAUGAAACAAAAAAACCCAACUGUUAUGCAGCCUCCGAAUGUUAUCGCUGCCAAAGGAACAAAACAAAUAAUUAUGAAUUUUAAAAUUCUUUAUUGGUGAACUAAUUAUUAACUUCAAAUUUUCAAAGGUUCAGCAAACAGUUUCCGUAGAUUGUGGUACAAAUGUGACCAUGCUGGCGUUUAUAAAUGCUGCAGGUGGUACUGUAUAGGGUGUCCAAUUACCGCAUUAUUUUUAUAUUGAAACUGGGAUUAUGGUAUAAGUGUUCAAAAAUAUACAA